RNAcentral lists this non-coding RNA (28 nucleotides) under Mus musculus (house mouse). The record is from RNAcentral. Lineage: Eukaryota; Metazoa; Chordata; Mammalia; Rodentia; Muridae.
UACAGGUAAUUACAACAGGAAGUCCUGG